Molecule: long non-coding RNA, 178 nt
Organism: Notolabrus celidotus (New Zealand spotty)
Lineage: Eukaryota; Metazoa; Chordata; Actinopteri; Labriformes; Labridae
Exons: 2
Source: RefSeq, a predicted model, not a curated record
CUCCAAACCUGCCAUGUGCCAGUGACUCCUUUGUUGAAAUGUUUGUACCAUGUGGUUUUGAACUAUUACCUGGAGUGGAUGCAUUACUGAUCACAAAUCAUCCACAUCCACAUCUGAACUCACUCCUUUGUCUGAACUGAGCUGAUCCUUUCUGUUGUAAAUAAACCUUCGAAACCUG